AGCUGUUACCCCUUCGGUUUGUUCCAAACCCUUCAUAGCUUCUUCCUUUCUGUCCUCCUUUUUCUUUUCUAUUUAUAUUUUCCUAUUUUCUUUUCUCUCUGCAUUUCUAAUCCUGCACCUCUGUCUUCUAUAUGACCUAAUGUCAGCCUGCCUUGGACUCUAUUGGAAUCCAGCACUACCUGAUGGAAACUUGGCGUGGUCAGUGCCCACUGGUAACUGUCAAGGCCUUUCCAUGCCUCAGUUCAGCUCCCUGAGAAGCUAUCGAGUGUCACAGCAUGUCACAGGCCACAGGCCAGCACACGGAGGGGUUCAUCUGAUGUCAGGUGCUGUCUCCAGGUCCAUUUAGCUGUGAUGAACACGGGGCCCGAGUGAUACAAGGUUGUCAAAGAGCCAAGGAGACGGAGUUUUGAUCUUUCGGGGCUACAAUUUCAAAUGAUAAAUAGCCUAAUUCUGGGAGUUCUCUUUGGAGUAACAAUGGUAACCUGAGUGCAAGAAACACAAGCACGCCAGGCCUCCCUGUCCAUCACCAACUCCCGGAGUUCACUGAGACUCACGUUCAUCCAGUCAGUGAUGCCAUCCAGCCAUCUCAUCCUCUGUCGUCCCCUUCUCCUCCUGCCCCCAAUCCCUCCCAGCAUCAGAGUCCUUUCCAAUGAGUCAACUCUUCGAUGGACAUAUACACACCGCCAUGUGAAAAGACAGACGGCUGCGGGAAGCUGCAGUGUGGCAAAAGGAGCUCAGCUCCCGGCUCUGUGAUGACCCGGGGGCGGGGC
This is a long non-coding RNA of Bos taurus (domestic cattle), 770 nucleotides long. The record is from Ensembl. Lineage: Eukaryota; Metazoa; Chordata; Mammalia; Artiodactyla; Bovidae.